GACGUAGGGUGCAAGCGUUGUCCGGAUUUACUGGGCGUAAAGCGCGCGUAGGCGGCUCGUUAAGUGUGAAGUGAAAUCCCUGGGCUCAACUCAGGAACUGCUUUACAUACUGGCGAGCUUGAGGGAUGCAGAGGUCUGUGGAAUUCCUGGUGUAAUGGUGAAAUGUGUUGAUAUCAGGAGGAACACCCAUGGCGAAGGCAGCAGACUGGGCAUCGCCUGACGCUGAGGUGCGAAAGCGUGGGUAGCGAACAGG
This 253-nucleotide ribosomal RNA is filed under the name uncultured bacterium. RNAcentral's name for it is "partial 16S ribosomal RNA". It matches the Rfam family "Bacterial small subunit ribosomal RNA", at positions 524 to 776 of the family's 1533-position model. The record is from RNAcentral.